Molecule: long non-coding RNA, 4029 nt
Filed under: Oryza sativa (Asian cultivated rice)
Lineage: Eukaryota; Viridiplantae; Streptophyta; Magnoliopsida; Poales; Poaceae
Description: long non-coding RNA (OSAT_LNC000902)
Source: RNAcentral
CGCCUGCAACAUUACAUUAGAAACUCUCUAAGGAUAGAACGCUGAGAACAGAGUCACACCAUUUUGCUGAAACAGUUCAAUGAUGGUAACAAAAAAUACGCAUAGUAUGGCAUCUAAAGUGUAGAUGAAGCAUCAAGAGUUGUAUGUGGUAUGGUACAACAGAAGGGAACUAGAGUAAUCCAAAUCAAUCCUAAAAUUCAGAAUAUGUGCAAAAUGCAGAGGUGUUUACUCGAGUUCAGCAGGAAUUGCAGUACGAUGUAGAUUAAAAACACACAUAAUGGCAUCUAAUAAUUGGAGAAGAAACAUCAUGCAUUCAACUAAGACGAAGUGGUAAGAAUGGAGUUGGCAUCAUGAGCGCAAAUGAUUGCAAUAAAGAUAAAAACUUCACAUAUCACGGCAUAGGUGAUACAGCAUGAUCAGCAUCAUAUAUCAUGCAUGGUCCAACAGGAGGGAAUUACCACAAUUCAACUCAAUACUGAAUUUGCUUAAAAGUUCAACAAGAAUUGUACAAAAAUGACAAGAACAGAACCUUAAUAGCACAUAAGUGAACAAGAAUUACAUACCCUGGUGCCCAGAUGAUCCGGGGUAGCCCGCAGGAGGGUAGCCACCAUGUUGGGGGUAACCACCAGGUGGAGGGUAGCCACCAGGCUGAGGGUACCCAUGCUGUGGAGGGUAUGCCCCAGGUGGUGGAGGGUAAGCCCCAGGAGGAGGGGGAUAAGCCCCCGGAGGAGGCGGGUACGCUCCCGGCGGCGGCGGGUAGCCCUGAGGAGGGUAUCCCUGGUGAGGAGGAUACCCAUGGCCGCCGGCAACGCCGUGCAUCAUGUUAGAGAAGAGCCCCUUGUCGCUCUCGUCAUGCUUGUCCUUGCCACCUCCCAUUGUCACCCACCCCAAUCAAGCUAAGCUAUCUGAAACAAAGUAGGAUGAUCAUGGUAUGAGCAAACUGAAUUCUUGAAAUUGGAAUGAGAUGGCAUGAAAUAAAUCUUUGAUAUUUCCAAUACAUGAAACGAUCCACUCUCAUCAGAAAACCAACCAUUGAUGUUGUGCAAUGAACAGGCGUGGAGGCAUCUAUAUAGUACCGAAAGACAGCUCCGAUCUUAGCCAUAUCCUACUGGGAAAUAUAAAAGUAGUUGUACCUACCAUACCAAUCCUCGUUGCAAAAUUCUGACUCUAGAACAUGACUAACGUGCAAAUACUUGAACAGAAACAAGGCAUUCAACGCGUGACAACUAAUAACUAAUCAUAUCUCAACACACGAGAGAAUGGUUGCCAGCUUGAUUUUCUUUUUAGAGAAGUGUUGCCAACUUGAUUCAUAUACUACCAGAUUAUUUCACCAGGAAACAAGCCGAAACUACGAUGUUUUCCGGAUCUCUGGUAGCACUAAAAUCCGGAACAAACAAGCUUACAAGAUCAAACGAACACCAGGCCAUAUAUGAUCCCUGAUGAAUGAAUGGAUGGAUUAUUUCUCAGAUCAAUUCCCCACAUCAGUCUGUAUCCCCAAUUUCUUUCGACCAAUUAAUAAUAAAACGCACAGCAACACCCAACACAGAUGAUUUCUACGAUGAGGAGAAUUCGGGCGUACCAGAAGACGAAUUGAGUCCUGAAGACGAGGAGGAGGAAGAAAGAUCUUGGCUGGGAGGAAGGAUUGAUUGGUGCUCUGCAAUUCUGCGGGCGAUGUCUCCUCCGCCUAUAUAGGAGGCGGCCACGUCCGUUGCGUGUCACUGCCGCGUGGGGCCCAGCUGGGUGGGUGGGACGAACCGGAUAGGCUUUGACCUUGUGCGCCGCGUCACUGACAUGUGGGGCCCAUGGAGACGCGCGAGCGCGUGGAGAGCGCGUCGUCCUGGAAGGAAAGAGAAAAUAAAAAAGGCAACGCGGCGAAGCAAGCAAGGAAAACUGACGGUUGUGGUGAGGUGGGGCCUACAUGGCGUAGGAGAGAUAAGGUCUACUCCCUCUAUCUUAUAAAAAACCAACGUGUACGAAUCUGGACAUAUCUCUGUCCAAAUUUAUUGUAUUAGAAUAUAUCACAUCAGUACUAGAUUUUUUUUUGGACAGAGGGAAUUUUUUUUACUUAUACUUAUGCUUAUUAGCUAAAAUUUAAAUUUUCAACUUUAAAUUUAAAGCUGAUUUUGAGGUUUUUUUUAUUGAACUUUAUUUUUCAGUCUUUGUUAUUGGAUUGCUAGGAACACGUGUAUAAAAAAUUUAUUUAUAAAUUACUUUCCAUUUACGGAUAUACCAUCACUAAGAACAUGUAUAUAAAAAUUUUAUUCACAAAUUAUUUUCUAUUUACAAAUAUGUCGUUUUCGAAACGAUCGCUUAGAGCAAGUUUAAUAGUAUAGCCAACUAUUAGCUUUAAUUCAUCUAUAGCCAAUCUAAUAGCUCAUUCAUACAAUAGUUACAUACCACACUAUUGAUAUAUGGUCCCACAUAUCAUACACACACUGUGUCUUAGAGUCCGUGCUACAGCUGUCUAUAAAUCUAUAGCCCGUUGUCCUUCUCUCUUCUCAUUUAUAUGUUUAAAAUAUAUUUAUAGCUGGCUUAUUAUAGCCUGCUAUUGUACCUGCUCUUAUGGAUGGAUAGAUAUAUUCCCGUCACGUCGAGCUGCGUGCAAACGACGACGCGCCGCCACGUGGCAGGGGAGGUGGGGACCGUGUGGGCCUUAUUCUCGGCCCAUCUACUUGAGGCCCGUUUCUGCAGGGCCCAUCUGUCACGCUCGUUCGCGGCUCAAACUGGGGAGAGGCGGAGAGAGAGAGAGAGGGAGCGAGGGAUUCAUGGCGCGCGGUGGCCGCCGGCCGCUGGCGAUCCCGUUUCCCCUCUUGUGCUACUGCUUCGUUCCUCCAUCCCCUGCGUUGGAUGGUGAAGAGUUGAUCAUCCCGGCCGGGGCUUGGGGGAUGGGUGGGCUAUUCGUGUCGACGGCAAUGCUCGAUACCUGCUCGACGGAAUGCUUGCCUCGCAAGUGUCAGGUGCGUGCCUAUAAACUCCCAACACAGAACGGUUUAUUCUUACCCAACAGCACAAGCUAAAUCCCAAUGCAAUUGGCCCGCCGAAAAAGAAUUAUAUCCUGAAACGAUUUUGUUUUGUUGAAAGAAUUAACUAUGAAUAUAUCUUCUGAAUGAUCUCACAAUCUGCAAUGUUCUACUGACAAAUAUACUUUCUUGUCAAAAAUGUACUUAAAUACACCUUAAAGUACAUCUUAUAGUAAUCCCCAUGGAAUACAGGCAUGUGUUUAGUAAACACUAACAAUGUGAACGGAGCCGUCUAUGGCAUUUGGCUACAACAUGUCAUCAUUUGAUCAUUUUUAAGUCUUGUUUUCUGACCUGCUAUGCACCUAAUUAGCUCGAUGACGAAUCUGGUUACAUCCAGAAGGCCUGAUCAUCAAAACAGGGAGCGGGUUAGUCCAGUAUUCCACCAACUCAUAAGAACAUAGCUGAAAUUUUAUCACUUUUGCAUUAGACAGAUAGACAGGAGUACCUAAUUCAUUUAGUGAAGAAUACCAUGUCACUAUGCUGUUUCUGAAGAGCCGGGUUUACACAUGCCAAUAGUGACGGCUUCUUUUUCUUGGCUGGAAAGAGGAAUAGCCGGAGUGGCACUCUUGUUCUAGAGGGUGCAUUUUUCCAGGUGCUGCUUCCUUUGGCCUCCGAUAAGCUAGUUCUCUCGACUAUCUUUUCAAUGACCUUUUCAAUUUCUGCUUGGAGCCCUUUUAUAUGAUCCAGACCAGAUUGCAGUUCAUCAGCAACCUUGUUGUUCUCCUGUUUCAUGUUCAUAACCUCCCCUUGGAAUUUUGCAGCUUGAUAUGAAGUGAAAUGAGCUCCUUCCUCAGGGUCUGCACCCAUCUCCAUGGUUGCUUCAAUUUCCUCUUGUAUGCUGCAGAGGGAAGCGAACCUAUACUGGAGCUCCCCUUUGAGCAUGGCAUUCUGUUCCAACCAUACUUGUAGUUCUAUCUUGAGUUCUCUUAGCCGUUUUUCUAUGGCAUUUGAGUCACCCUUUGCUGAUGGAUCAUCCGCACGGCCAUUAUUUGUCUUGAGCUUGUCCUUG